This 497-nucleotide ribosomal RNA is filed under the name uncultured bacterium. RNAcentral's name for it is "partial 16S ribosomal RNA". It matches the Rfam family "Bacterial small subunit ribosomal RNA", at positions 28 to 507 of the family's 1533-position model. The record is from RNAcentral.
GAUGAACGCUGGCGGCGUCCCUAAUACAUGCAAGUCGAGCGAACAGACGAGGAGCUUGCUCCUCUGACGUUAGCGGCGGACGGGUGAGUAACACGUGGAUAACCUACCUAUAAGACUGGGAUAACUUCGGGAAACCGGAGCUAAUACCGGAUAAUAUAUUGAACCGCAUGGUUCAAUAGUGAAAGACGGUUUUGCUGUCACUUAUAGAUGGAUCCGCGCCGCAUUAGCUAGUUGGUAAGGUAACGGCUUACCAAGGCGACGAUGCGUAGCCGACCUGAGAGGGUGAUCGGCCACACUGGAACUGAGACACGGUCCAGACUCCUACGGGAGGCAGCAGUAGGGAAUCUUCCGCAAUGGGCGAAAGCUUGACGGAGCAACGCCGCGUGAGUGAUGAAGGUCUUCGGAUCGUAAAACUCUGUUAUUAGGGAAGAACAAAUGUGUAAGUAACUAUGCACGUCUUGACGGUACCUAAUCAGAAAGCCACGGCUAACUACGUG